GUGCCAGCCGCCGCGGUAAGACAGAGGGUGCAAACGUUGCUCGGAAUCACUGGGCGUAAAGGGCGUGUAGGCGGGAAGGUAAGUCGGGCGUGAAAUCCCUGAGCUCAACUCAGGAACUGCACUCGAAACUACUUUUCUUGAGUGCCGGAGAGGAAAGCGGAAUUCCUGGUGUAGAGGUGAAAUUCGUAGAUAUCAGGAGGAACACCAGUGGCGAAGGCGGCUUUCUGGACGGUAACUGACGCUGAGACGCGAAAGCGUGGGGAGCAAACAGGAUUAGAAACCCCCGUAGUCC
This 292-nucleotide ribosomal RNA is filed under the name uncultured bacterium. Its description in RNAcentral is "partial 16S ribosomal RNA". It matches the Rfam family "Bacterial small subunit ribosomal RNA", at positions 505 to 796 of the family's 1533-position model. The record is from RNAcentral.